This 260-nucleotide ribosomal RNA is filed under the name uncultured bacterium. RNAcentral describes it as "partial 16S ribosomal RNA". It matches the Rfam family "Bacterial small subunit ribosomal RNA", at positions 333 to 612 of the family's 1533-position model. The record is from RNAcentral.
UAACCUACGGGGGGCAGCAGUGGGGGAUAUUGCACAAUGGGGGAAACCCUGAUGCAGCGACGCCGCGUGAGUGAAGAAGUAUUUCGGUAUGUAAAGCUCUAUCAGCAGGGACGAAAAUGACGGUACCUGAGUAAGAAGCCCCGGCUAAUUACGUGCCAGCAGCCGCGGUAAUACGUAGGGGGCAAGCGUUAUCCGGAUUUACUGGGUGUAAAGGGAGCGUAGACGGUUAUGCAAGUCUGGAGUGAAAGGCGGGGGAUCAA